GCCCUCGUAGGUCAAUGGAUAGACCGUCGGCCUCCGGAGCCGAAGAUUGCGGGUUCGAAUCCCGCCGAGGGUACCA
This 76-nucleotide transfer RNA is filed under the name Candidatus Woykebacteria bacterium RBG_16_44_10. RNAcentral describes it as "tRNA-Arg". It matches the Rfam family "tRNA". Rfam says of the family: Transfer RNA (tRNA) molecules are approximately 80 nucleotides in length. Their secondary structure includes four short double-helical elements and three loops (D, anti-codon, and T loops). Further hydrogen bonds mediate the characteristic L-shaped molecular structure. tRNAs have two regions of fundamental functional importance: the anti-codon, which is responsible for specific mRNA codon recognition, and the 3' end, to which the tRNAs corresponding amino acid is attached (by aminoacyl-tRNA synthetases). tRNAs cope with the degeneracy of the genetic code in two manners: having more than one tRNA (with a specific anti-codon) for a particular amino acid; and 'wobble' base-pairing, i.e. permitting non-standard base-pairing at the 3rd anti-codon position. Lineage: Bacteria; Candidatus Woykeibacteriota. The record is from RNAcentral.